GCCGUGAGCCGCCUCCCCUCGCACCCGGCACCGGGCCGCCCCGGGGCCGCGUCCCGCUCGUGGCUUUCUUCAUCCCCCACCUCCCCUCCCGCUGCUGCUGCUGUUGGUUUUCCGGAGAGAGAGCUGCCGCCCUCGGGAACCUGGCACCGACCCGCCGCCGGCUGCUGCUGCUGCUGCGGGGCGACGAGGAGGAGGAGGAGGAGGAGGAGGAGGA
Oxyura jamaicensis (ruddy duck) is the source of this 214-nucleotide long non-coding RNA. RefSeq lists it as uncharacterized. NCBI's taxonomy places the organism in Eukaryota, Metazoa, Chordata, Aves, Anseriformes, Anatidae. The transcript has 2 exons. The record is from RefSeq and is a predicted model, not a curated record.